This 661-nucleotide long non-coding RNA is filed under the name Homo sapiens (human). Its description in RNAcentral is "non-protein coding lnc-NDUFB11-2:3". The record is from RNAcentral. Lineage: Eukaryota; Metazoa; Chordata; Mammalia; Primates; Hominidae.
AGAUUGUUUUCCUGAAUUGUGGCUGCGCAGAGACUCCGGGGUGGGAUGAGAACCAAGACUGCCCCACUGCCUCCCUACCCGACUGACAUUGGACACGGAACAAGAGACCUGACAGGGUCCAACAGAGAAACGCGGAUGGGCUCAGAGCUUCUUUCCAGACCCGCCAGUCUCUGGUGCAACAGAUGAUGUCCGGGAAGAGGCGGAGCCAGGUGUGACAGUUCUGAGGGCCAAAGACAGCCGUUGGGUUAAUCAAUUGUUCUUUGGAGCAGCUUGGACACCUUUAGAGGGUGGGCUCUAUAGGUGAAAGAACGGCAGGCGGACCGACCAGAAGUUCGUGCUCUGAUGGCCGGGGAUGUGCAGAACUAGAGGAUGCGGAGCCGAUUGACAGCAGGCCUGAGAGAGAGGUUAGCACCCAUAGUUCUUCCGCGAGAAGGGGGCGGGGAUUGAAACUUGAUUGAUGGCAUUUCCGACCAGUGAGAACGUCUGAGUCAGGGGCCCUUGAGUAGUAUGUGUCUUUUGGCAGUAGAGGGUUGGUCCUUACUUUGACUGACCCUCUUAUCAUCCAAUAAACAUGCCUACUUGCGUUGGGGGCGGGGCGACUGAGUGCAGAAAAGACGGGAUCUUGUCCUUGUCCUCGUUUCCCUUAAAGAGGAAACUCAGU